RNAcentral lists this unclassified non-coding RNA (1378 nucleotides) under Hevea brasiliensis (rubber tree). Lineage: Eukaryota; Viridiplantae; Streptophyta; Magnoliopsida; Malpighiales; Euphorbiaceae. The record is from RNAcentral.
AAAUAUUAGGGAUAAUAAGGGAGGAAGUUUGUGUUCUCUUCACGAGUUAAGAGAUGUUUGAUUAGCAUUUCCUGAUUAGGUAAAGUAAAGCACAAGUAAGAUAGACUUCGAUCAACAACAAAAUAGUUGAAUUCCUUACCAAUGCAAAGCAUUCAAAAGUAAUUAAAUUGAUCCAUAUUAUAGAGAUUCAGAAUAUAGAAGAUAAAACCAUAAUGCUUAGAAACAUCCAUUAUAACUUUCAAAAACAUGCAAGGUGAACAAAAAAUAUAUGCAAGUUAUUAGCAUUCAAGUCAUCAAACAUGAAGCUGAGCACAUUUUAGAAGGUCCCUAAUUUAGUCAGGUAACAAAGGUUGAACAAUCAUGAUAUAUCCCAGCAGCCAGAUUCUUUCUUGUCAGAACUAGAGGUUCAACACUGAAAGUGGAAAAAUAACUUAUAAUGAACCUAAAGCAUAUACUAGAAGCAAGGCCAGGGAGUAAAUGGUGGUACCAUUUAACCAAGUGCACUUCAACAGCCAUUGGCCAUUGCUAGUCCUAUAUCACUUUUUUAACAAUUUGUUGCUGCAAGGGUAUUUUAGAAGAGCCCCUGUUGCAAGUGUUCUUUAGAUCAGUGAAAUAUUUCGGCAACACUAACAAAAAGGUAUUUAGUCAUAUCUUAACUACUUAUGUUAAAUCUAUAAAGUACAAACAAACUAUGUUACUGAUUAGACACCCAUUUCUCUUUAUGGACCAGAUGACUCCAUCAAAUUUUUGUAGAACAAUGUGAUGACAUUUAAGUUUCAGUUCCUGAAUAAUAGAUUAAUAGUCACUCAAACCCAAAAUCAACUGCAAUCCAGCCUGACAACAAACAACAAAACAACAAAAAUGAGUAGCCACUAGGUAUACAAGCACAAUAAUUUGCAUAAUCAGAAAAACGCUUUCGUUUAUAUGGAUAGAUGGAAUUCCUGUUAUGUGCUUACCGCUACAGCAAUUACAGAUAGAAUUAUGCAAGUGUGGCAUAUGGGGCAGGCAACAACGCAGUUCUUUUGGCAAAGCUUUGAUAGUUAGCUUUUAACAGGGUCCAUAUAGAAAACACGAUAAAGGCACUUGAAUUAUGAGAUAGUUUAGGGAGGCCACACACAGGUAUUGAUUCAAAAGAGAAUCUAAUUGUCUAGAGUCAUAUUUGAGUGAAAAAUCCAACCAUUAUAGGCAAGAUAAAAAGCGUUGAUCAGCACAAACAAGAGCAUAGCAUUAUCUCAUUAUAUAUCAGAGUGCAUAACAUGUUAAUUGUUGCCAAGCACGGGUAAUCGAUCCAAAAGGGAAUCUUAUUGUCUAGAUCCUAUUUGCAUGACAGAGCCAACCAUAAUAAGUAAUCUAAAAAGCCUUGAUCAGCACAAACAAA